Molecule: ribosomal RNA, 424 nt
Filed under: uncultured bacterium
Lineage: Bacteria
Description: partial 16S ribosomal RNA
Rfam family: Bacterial small subunit ribosomal RNA
Source: RNAcentral
AAUUUUUGACAAUGGGGGAAACCCUGAUCCAGCCAUCCCGCGUGUAUGAUGAAGGCCUUCGGGUUGUAAAGUACUUUUGGCAGAGAAGAAUAGGUAUCUCCUAAUACGGGAUACUGCUGACGGUAUCUGCAGAAUAAGCACCGGCUAACUACAUGCCAGCAGCCGUGGUAAUACGUAGGGUGCAAGCGUGAAUCGGAAUGACUGGGCGUAAAGCGUGAGUAGGCGGAGCGGAAAGAAAGAUGUGAAUGCCAAGGGCUCAACCUUGAAACUGCAUUUGUAACUGCAGAGCUAGAGUAUGUCAGAGGGGGGUAGAAUUCCAAGUGUAGCAGUGAAAUGCGUAGAUAUGUGGAGGAAUACCGAUGGCGAAGGCAACCCCCUCGGAUAAUACUGACGCUCAGACACGAAAGCGUAAGGAGCAAACAGA